AGUGAACGCUGGCGGCAUGGUUAAGACAUGCAAGUCGAACGAGAAGCAAAACUUCGGUUUUGUGGACAGUGGCGAACGGGUGCGUAACACGUGAGCAACCUGCCCCUAAGUACGGAAUAGCCCACCGAAAGGUGGAUUAAUACCGCAUGUGUCCCUUUUUCGCAUGGAGAAGUGGAUAAAGCUUGUAAUGGCGCUUAGGGAUGGGCUCGCGGCCUAUCAGCUUGUUGGUGAGGUAACGGCUCACCAAGGCUAAGACGGGUAGCUGUUCUGAGAGGAUGAUCAGCCACACCGGGACUGAGACACGGCCCGGACACCUACGGGUGGCAGCAGUUUCGAAUCAUUCACAAUGGGCGAAAGCCUGAUGAUGCAAUGCCGCGUGGAGGAUGACGGCCUUAGGGUUGUAAACUCCUGUCAUUAGGGAACAACAAGUAGGUUCAUAGCCUACUCUGAGUUAACCUAAAGAGGAAGAGGUGGCUAACUCCGUGCCAGCAGCCGCGGUAAUACGGAGACCUCGAGCGUUACUCGGAUUUACUGGGCGUAAAGGGUGAGCAGGCGGCCAGGUGUGUUAGGUGUGAAAUCCCGAGGCUUAACCUCGGAACUGCGCCUAAAACUACCUGGCUAGAGUCUCGGAGAGGACAGUGGAAUUCUAGGUGUAGCGGUGAAAUGCGUAGAUAUCUAGAGGAACACCAGUGGCGAAGGCGACUGUCUGGACGAGUACUGACGCUCAAUCACGAAAGCGUGGGUAGCGAAAGGGAUUAGAUACCCCUGUAGUCCACGCCGUAAACGUUGUGCACUAAGUUUCGGAGGAUUCGACCCCUUCGGAGCUCAAGCUAACGCGUUAAGUGCACCGCCUGAGGACUACGGCCGCAAGGCUAAAACUCAAAGGAAUUGACGGGGGCCCGCACAAGCGGUGGAGCAUGUGGCUUAAUUCGAGGCAGCGCGAAGAACCUUACCUGGUCUUGACAUGCCCGUCAUAGUUUUCCGAAAGGAAUUCGUCAGUUCGGCUGGACGGUGCACAGGUGCUGCAUGGCUGUCGUCAGCUCGUGUCGUGAGAUGUUCGGUUAAGUCCGGCAACGAGCGCAACCCUCGUUUCCAGUUGCCAGCGGGUAAUGCCGGGGACUCUGGAAAGACAAACCUCUUGUUGAGGUGGGAAGGUGGGGACGACGUCAAGUCAGUAUGGCCCUUACGGGUUGGGCUACACACGUGCUACAAUGGUAGUGACAAUGGGU
Molecule: ribosomal RNA, 1229 nt
Filed under: uncultured marine bacterium
Lineage: Bacteria
Description: bacterial SSU rRNA
Rfam family: Bacterial small subunit ribosomal RNA
Source: RNAcentral